Molecule: non-coding RNA, 186 nt
Filed under: Desulfobacca sp.
Lineage: Bacteria; Pseudomonadati; Thermodesulfobacteriota; Desulfobaccia; Desulfobaccales; Desulfobaccaceae
Source: RNAcentral
GGAAUAUACAGAUAUUUGGGUACCGAUUUAGGUUUAAUAGGGAAGACGGUUGAGCCGUCGCGGUCCCGCCGCUGUAACCGGGGACGAACUCUGCCAGAGGCCACUGUUCCAUGCCAGUGGGAUGGGAAGGCGCAAGUAGUAGGAUGAUCCGGGAGCCAGAAGACCUGCCCGAUAUAAUCUGCAGUU